RNAcentral lists this ribosomal RNA (562 nucleotides) under uncultured Paracoccaceae bacterium. RNAcentral's name for it is "bacterial SSU rRNA". It matches the Rfam family "Bacterial small subunit ribosomal RNA", at positions 337 to 917 of the family's 1533-position model. Lineage: Bacteria; Pseudomonadati; Pseudomonadota; Alphaproteobacteria; Rhodobacterales; Paracoccaceae. The record is from RNAcentral.
UCCUACGGGAGGCAGCAGUGGGGAAUCUUGGACAAUGGGCGCAAGCCUGAUCCAGCCAUGCCGCGUGAGUGAUGAAGGCCCUAGGGUCGUAAAGCUCUUUCGCCAGGGAUGAUAAUGACAGUACCUGGUAAAGAAACCCCGGCUAACUCCGUGCCAGCAGCCGCGGUAAUACGGAGGGGGUUAGCGUUGUUCGGAAUUACUGGGCGUAAAGCGCGCGUAGGCGGAUCAGAAAGUUGGGGGUGAAAUCCCAGGGCUCAACCCUGGAACUGCCCCCAAAACUCCUGGUCUAGAGUUCGAGAGAGGUGAGUGGAAUUCCGAGUGUAGAGGUGAAAUUCGUAGAUAUUCGGAGGAACACCAGUGGCGAAGGCGGCUCACUGGCUCGAUACUGACGCUGAGGUGCGAAAGUGUGGGGAGCAAACAGGAUUAGAUACCCUGGUAGUCCACACCGUAAACGAUGAAUGCCAGUCGUCAGCAAGCAUGCUUGUUGGUGACACACCUAACGGAUUAAGCAUUCCGCCUGGGGAGUACGGUCGCAAGAUUAAAACUCAAAUGAAUUGACGGA